UUCAUUUUCCCUAUAUUUGAAUGGGUUGGGAAUUACAAUGUUAAUAAUAAUUUAGAGUAAAGAAAAACAUUGUAGCUAGUACCUCUAAGUACACAAUUUUAGAAAAACAUUGUAGCUAGUACCUCUAAGUACACAAUUUUAAUAGGCAGUUAAGUAUCAAACAAGAGAGUCCAUUUCAUUUUAUUUAAAAAGUAUCACAUCACACACGAUGAAAUAACAACUUAUCAAGAUCGAUAAGAUCAUCACAACUCGUUAUUAGAGAUGAGGACCUUUAUCACGUAUAGAAGUACUGCCGUUAGAGCCGAUCUUCAUUCCUUUGUUGAUAUGUAUAUUUCCAACCCCGUUUCCUGUUUUUUAGUUUGAUAAACCAUGAAUCAAUUACUAAUGACAUGCAUUUCUUAAGUUAGGGUUUCUCUAUUGUUCAAAAAAUGAAUUUAUUAAAGUUCGAAAAAUAAUAAUGAAUUUAUUGAAAAUUUAAAAGAAUAUAUGAUCUAUCAACGAUGAAUCAAUUACUAAUGACAUGCAUCUAGCCAACUCAUCUUAGUCUCUUUUCAGUUUAAUGAAGGAAUAUGUUGCUCAGAAAAAUAUGAUCUAUCAACGAUUGGAUCAUACUCAUCAUAGUAUCAUACAUAUAUACAACAACAGAGCUACAUGUUACCAGUUUAGUUAUAUCAUCACUUUAUCGAUCAAAGUCAAAUAUCAGCUUUACUAAAUACACCAUACUCCCCACAUAUACACGUGACAUGUACAUCCACAAAUAGAUCUGACUUCUGCUAUCACAUACACACACACAUACACAAUCUCAAGAUAACCAUAGAAUAAACUGAGAGGAGUGAUGGAAACUUACUAGAGUGCGAGAUGAGUAAGUUACGUUGGCCAACGUUGGGGUCAAUUAGUGCAAUGGACAAGAGGAACAUUACACCAAUUAAGAAACCCAACUUGCAUUUCAUCAUCGUUUUUUUUUUCG
RNAcentral lists this long non-coding RNA (967 nucleotides) under Brassica napus (rape). RNAcentral's name for it is "long non-coding RNA (BNAP_LNC017914)". The record is from RNAcentral. Lineage: Eukaryota; Viridiplantae; Streptophyta; Magnoliopsida; Brassicales; Brassicaceae.